RNAcentral lists this ribosomal RNA (423 nucleotides) under uncultured bacterium. Its description in RNAcentral is "bacterial SSU rRNA". It matches the Rfam family "Bacterial small subunit ribosomal RNA", at positions 207 to 622 of the family's 1533-position model. The record is from RNAcentral.
AAGACCUUGCGCUUUUGGAGCGGCCGAUGCCUGAUUAGCUUGUUGGUAAGGUAAAAGCUUACCAAGGCUUCGAUCAGUAGCUGGUCUGAGAGGACGGCCAGCCACACUGGGACUGAGACACGGCCCAGACUCCUACGGGAGGCAGCAGUGGGGAAUUUUGGACAAUGGGGGCAACCCUGAUCCAGCCAUGCCGCGUGAGUGAAGAAGGCCUUCGGGUUGUAAAGCUCCUUCAGCCGGAACGAAACGGUUACGGUUAAUACCCGUGAUUACUGACGGUACCGGAAGAAGAAGCACCGGCUAACUACGUGCCAGCAGCCGCGGUAAUACGUAGGGUGCGAGCGUUAAUCGGAAUUACUGGGCGUAAAGCGUGCGCAGGUGGUUUUGUAAGUCAGAUGUGAAAGCCCCGGGCUCAACCUGGGAACU